Long non-coding RNA from Passer montanus (Eurasian tree sparrow), 413 nucleotides. RefSeq lists it as uncharacterized. Lineage: Eukaryota; Metazoa; Chordata; Aves; Passeriformes; Passeridae. The transcript is spliced from 3 exons. The record is from RefSeq and is a predicted model, not a curated record.
UCCUUCUGACCAAGCAACUAUUCCUGAGCGUGUUGCUUCUCCUGAUCAAGCAACUAUUCCUGAAUCACUGCAUCAUUUGCACCUCAUCUAUUGCCUGCUUGCACAGGUAGAGUGCCUGUAACCCCUGGAGAGGGAGCCUGUGCUUCUCAAGAGAUCCAGCUCCACUCAUCCAUCAUGAACCUCUUUGCUCAGCCUGUACCAGGAGAGAUGGGAGCUCCUUUGCCUUCCUCCCCUGCAGCCUGGAGCCAGCAGCUCUGUCUGGAUCCUGAUGUUGGUUCAGCAUCAGGCUCACAAGGAUGGAACAGUGCUGGUGCCAGUCCCAGUGCCACAGAUAUAACCUCCCUGGAUGCAUGCCAUUCCAUGCCCAGCUGCUUAAAGCACAAAGGUUUGCUGCUGUGGGCAGGCUGUACACA